AGGGAACAGACCAUUAAAAGGGUAACCAUCGAGAACUACUUGAGAGCUUUGUAGGAUUAGUUUGCUGUUUCCAUGUUUGUUAUUCUUUCUGUAAGAGGUUUUACGGGUUCUGGCACAAGAACAGCUACACCCCUGAGUUUGAAGAUCUUGUUAAGAGCGCUGUGGCCAGACUCUUGGGUGGCAAUAGGACUGUUCCGGGUUGCCAACAGCGCCAACUCAGCCAGGAGGGACACUACCUUUUCUAAUUUGAGGUUAAUUUCCUCUACCAUUCUUGCUGUUAACAAACAGUGGUCCACAAGUACAGUACUUCAGCAUAAGAUGGUACACCCUCAGCUGCUUUCUUUGUUUGUUUGUUUGUUUGUUUGUUUGUUUGUUUGAAAUCUCAUUUUCUGUAAGAUUGGUGGAAGGUGACUGGGGACAAACUAGUGAUUCUAGAUGUCUCUGUUCUGCCCCUCUAGAUUAAUGGCUCAUCCAGCUUCAAAUAAAAUGGUGGUCAAAAUGGUAUUCCAUGACUGAAGGACAUUUAGGUGAGUAUCCCUUGGUUGGCCAGGGAGAAAAUCUCUGUUGUGUUCCGUCUGCAACUCAUUGUGCUAAGACUCUUUCAGGUUGCAGUGACAGAGUUGUCAGAAGAGGCCCUAUUCUGUGUCACCACAAUGAGGCUCACCUGCAGGUAGGAGAAGACUUCUUCUUUUGUUCCAGCCCUUCUCUCCUUUUGUUCCAGCUUGUCUUUCCUUCAGGUUUCUCAGAGUAUCCCUUGCAUGGCUAGGGGGAAAUCUCUAUUGUGUUCCGUCUGCAACUCAUUGGGCUAAGACUCUUUCAGCUGGGAUGACUGAGUUGUCAGAAGAGGCCCUGUUCCAUGUCAUCACGAUGAGGCUCACCUGCAGGUAGGAGAAGACUUCUUCUUUUCUUCCAGCUCUUCUUUCCUUCAGACUUCCCAGAGUUCACUGUUCUUGAAGUGAGAGUCACCAGCAUUAGGACAGUGCUGCUUUAGGUAAGUUCACAUUCUACCACUCAGUCGUCUGUUUUCAAAACAAUGUCUUUUGUAUUGGUCUCUCCUUUUCCUCAUUUUCUUUUCCGCUGGUCUCUCCACAGGUCUCCCCAAAGAGCUCUUCUUAACAUCUUAAGGUUUUCUUUUUCCUGAGAGAACAUUCACAGAAUGUUCUCUCAGGUUUUGCUUUUCCCCUUGUUGCAUUGCUCAAAAAAAAAGCAAGAGACACUGGUGGUUGGCGCUCCUGGUUCCCAGGACGGGGUUCAAAUCCCUGCGGUGUCCAUGCUUACUUCCAAUGCAACUGCUAUCUCUCUCUAUUCCUCUCUAUCCCUCUCUCUAUCCCU
Molecule: long non-coding RNA, 1332 nt
Filed under: Podarcis lilfordi (Lilford's wall lizard)
Lineage: Eukaryota; Metazoa; Chordata; Lepidosauria; Squamata; Lacertidae
Source: RNAcentral